Mercenaria mercenaria is the source of this 204-nucleotide long non-coding RNA. RefSeq lists it as uncharacterized. The transcript has 2 exons. The record is from RefSeq and is a predicted model, not a curated record. Lineage: Eukaryota; Metazoa; Mollusca; Bivalvia; Venerida; Veneridae.
AGGUUUGUGAUUUCUGGUCCAAAUAUUCGGUCAGCCUUUGUCCCCGGCAGUGAGGGUAUCUACAGAUUCGAGGAAACACACAAAUUGGAUUAUACUCAGAUGAUGGAUGUAAGUGAUCAUUAUCCCAUAGAACUUGAAAUAUACUGACAACUGGAUGAAAAUAGCUUUGUAUGUAUGAUAAAUAAACCUUGAACAUGGCGUAUC